This is a long non-coding RNA of Apodemus sylvaticus (European woodmouse), 1045 nucleotides long. RefSeq lists it as uncharacterized. The record is from RefSeq and is a predicted model, not a curated record. The transcript has 7 exons. Lineage: Eukaryota; Metazoa; Chordata; Mammalia; Rodentia; Muridae.
AAAAACAAAAGCAUAAAAAGAAAAAACUUGAAUCCAGAGUAAGGAUGUGGGCAUGAGAAGAAGGGAAAGAGCAGUAGUGCUCAUCCCUGCGAAGGUGAGAGACCAUGAGGAUAACCAGAGCAGAGUCACACAUGACAUACAGUGAUCACACAUGACAUACAGUGAUCACACAUGACAUACAGUGAUCACACAUGACAUACAGUGAUCACACAUGACAUACAGUGAUCAGGAAUGGAGAGCCACCUAGGGUGACCGCCCAGGGGUACAGGAGGAGCUGCGGGCGUGGCAGAGAAAGUGUGACCAAAAUGGAACCAACAAGGCAAAGACGCAGAAGACUGACUGUGAGAGAAGGAAGAGGGAGGAGAAGUGAGAGGAGUGUCCACUGUGAUCUUCCCAAGAGGUCUGAGUGUCCACUGUGAUCUUCCCAAGAGGUGAGAGUGUCCACUGUGAUCUUCCCAAGAGGUGUGAGUGUCCACCGUGAUCUUCCUAAGAGGUGUGAGUGUCCACCAUGAUCUUCCCAAGAGGUGUGAGUGUCCACUGUGAUCUUCCCAAGAGGUGAGAGUGUCCACCAUGAUCUUCCCAAGAGGUGUGAGUGUCCACCAUGAUCUUCCCAAGAGGUGUGAGUGUCCACUGUGAUCUUCCCAAGAGGUGAGAGUGUCCACCAUGAUCUUCCCAAGAGGUGUGAGUGUCCACCAUGAUCUUCCCAAGAGGUGUGAGUGUCCACCAUGAUCUUCCCAAGAGGUGUGAGUGUCCACCAUGAUCUUCCCAAGAGGUGUGAGUGUCCACUGUGAUCUUCCCAAGAGGUGAGAGUGUCCACCAUGAUCUUCCCAAGAGGUGUGAGUGUCCACCAUGAUCUUCCCAAGAGGUGUGAGUGUCCACCAUGAUCUUCCCAAGAGGUGUGAGUGUCCACCGUGAUCUUCCCAAGAGGUGUGAGUGUCCACCAUGAUCUUCCCAAGAGGUGUGAGUGUCCACCGUGAUCUUCCCAAGAGGUGUGAGUGUCCACUGUGAUCUUCCCAAGAGGUGAGAGUGUCCACCAUGAUCUUCC